This 253-nucleotide ribosomal RNA is filed under the name uncultured bacterium. RNAcentral describes it as "partial 16S ribosomal RNA". It matches the Rfam family "Bacterial small subunit ribosomal RNA", at positions 524 to 776 of the family's 1533-position model. The record is from RNAcentral.
UACGUAGGGUGCAAGCGUUGCCCGGAUUUAUUGGGCGUAAAGAGCUCGUAGGCGGCCAGUUGCGUCUGCUGUGAAAUCCCGGGGCUCAACCCCGGGCGUGCAGUGGAUACGGGCUGGCUAGAGGCAGGCAGGGGAGAACGGAAUUCCCGGUGUAGCGGUGAAAUGCGCAGAUAUCGGGAGGAACACCGGUGGCGAAGGCGGUUCUCUGGGCCUGUACUGACGCUGAGGAGCGAAAGCGUGGGGAGCGAACAGG